AGAGAUGAAGAACUCUAUAGAUAGCCUAGCAAAGGGGGCAAUCUACUAAACCAUAUGAAUCCCUAAUGAGAAACCCUAUUCCCAACAAGCAGACUACUCACACAUAUUGGAUGAAGCAAACAAUAUAUUUGAGUGUGAAAGCAUAAACACAGUAAAUAGAGAAGGGGAAAGAAGGGAUCUCUUCACUGUAUAUAGAUCUGAAUGAAACUCUGAGAAAACAAUCGAUGAAUAGCUUAUGUCUCUUAGUAAUAGGGUUUGUAGAAAACUUGAUAAAAGACUUGAUAAAAGAAACUUAGGUUUAAAAACAAUAUAUAUAUAGACCCUAAAAACGUCCAGGGACAAAUAAUGCAAAUAGGGAAAUCUUCUGGGGCAAAUUUGAUCUUCUGUAAACUCGAAAGCGUCUAGGGUUUUUGCUGGGCCGAAACUGGUGUCGAUUGACACCAAGAGUGUGUCGAUCGAUACUCCUCGCUGAUUCCUGAACCAAAAUCGUCCUUCGCUUUCUUUUCCUUAGCCUUUGCUCCAAAAUAUCUCCUUAUCUCCAUUGUUGUCACAUUGCAUAGAAUACCUGAAAAGACACUAAAAAGACUCGAGAAAUAACAUAAAGACUCAAAAUCCUAUACCUAAAACAUAGAUAAAAUCAGUAAAAAUUGGGAUAUAUCACAAGCCCACUUUGCCUCUUCCUGAAAGAAAAACUGACAAAGGUGGUCACGGUGAAAUUUUCUUUUAAAUUAAAAGCAGACAUUCCAACUCUGUAGAUGUAGUGUUUAAGUUAUACUAGGAAGAUAAACUUAUACUUUCUUUUGUAGUAGAAACUUUGGCCACAUGUGUUAUCAAGGUCUCUUAGGUCGUCGAAGGUUGUUGGUUUUAUCUGUUGAAGUGAUAAUACAUAUCUUCUCUUUCUUAAUAUAAUUGUUAAUAGCAUU
RNAcentral lists this small RNA (923 nucleotides) under Arabidopsis thaliana (thale cress). Its description in RNAcentral is "ATSL086050". The record is from RNAcentral. Lineage: Eukaryota; Viridiplantae; Streptophyta; Magnoliopsida; Brassicales; Brassicaceae.